GGGCGGAUAGCUCAGCUGGCUAGAGCGUCUCUUUGACGUAGAGAAGGUCGGGGAUUCGAAUUCCUCUUCGCCCACCA
Molecule: transfer RNA, 77 nt
Filed under: Candidatus Saccharimonadota bacterium
Lineage: Bacteria; Candidatus Saccharimonadota
Description: tRNA-Val
Rfam family: tRNA
About the family: Transfer RNA (tRNA) molecules are approximately 80 nucleotides in length.
Source: RNAcentral